GCCGCUAUGGUGAAAUUGGUAGACA
Molecule: transfer RNA, 25 nt
Filed under: Cuspidaria pulchra
Lineage: Eukaryota; Viridiplantae; Streptophyta; Magnoliopsida; Lamiales; Bignoniaceae
Also listed under: 3 other names
Description: partial tRNA-Leu
Source: RNAcentral